This 613-nucleotide ribosomal RNA is filed under the name uncultured bacterium. RNAcentral describes it as "bacterial SSU rRNA". The stretch from base 1 to 518 matches the Rfam family "Bacterial small subunit ribosomal RNA", at positions 338 to 873 of the family's 1533-position model. The record is from RNAcentral.
CCUACGGGAGGCAGCAGUGGGGAAUAUUGGACAAUGGGCGAAAGCCUGAUCCAGCAAUGCCGCGUGAGUGAUGAAGGCCUUAGGGUUGUAAAGCUCUUUUACCAGGGAUGAUAAUGACAGUACCUGGAGAAUAAGCUCCGGCUAACUCCGUGCCAGCAGCCGCGGUAAUACGGAGGGAGCUAGCGUUGUUCGGAAUUACUGGGCGUAAAGCGUACGUAGGCGGUUAUUCAAGUCAGAGGUGAAAGCCUGGAGCUCAACUCCAGAACUGCCUUUGAAACUAGAUAGCUAGAAUCACGGAGAGGUUAGUGGAAUUCCGAGUGUAGAGGUGAAAUUCGUAGAUAUUCGGAAGAACACCAGUGGCGAAGGCGACUAACUGGACGUGUAUUGACGCUGAGGUACGAAAGCGUGGGGAGCAAACAGGAUUAGAUACCCUGGUAGUCCACGCCGUAAACGAUGAUAACUAGCUGUUCGGUCUCUACGAGACUGAGUGGCGCNGCUACGACAUUAAGUUAUCCGUCCGUCGGGUAGGUACGGUCGCGAGAAGUUAAACGUAACGUAAAGGUAAGUUAGUUACGGCGUGAGACGUGCCGACGGACGACGACGAGGGAGGAGG